GGGUUGUGAGGUUAAGCGACUAAGCGUACACGGUGGAUGCCCUGGCAGUCAGAGGCGAUGAAGGACGUGCUAAUCUGCGAAAAGCGUCGGUAAGGUGAUAUGAACCGUUAUAGCCGGCGAUGUCCGAAUGGGGAAACCCAGUGCAAUUCGUUGCACUAUCGUUAACUGAAUACAUAGGUUAACGAGGCGAACCGGGGGAACUGAAACAUCUAAGUACCCCGAGGAAAAGAAAUCAACCGAGAUUCCCCCAGUAGCGGCGAGCGAACGGGGAGCAGCCCGGAGUCUGAAUCAGCUUGUGUGUUAGUGGAAGCGUCUGGAAAGUCGCAGGGUACAGGGUGAUACUCCCGUACACUAAAACACACAGGUUGUGAACUCGAAGAGUAGGGCGGGACACGUGGUAUCCUGUCUGAAUAUGGGGGGACCAUCCUCCAAGGCUAAAUACUCCUGACUGACCGAUAGUGAACCAGUACCGUGAGGGAAAGGCGAAAAGAACCCCGGCGAGGGGAGUGAAAAAGAACCUGAAACCGUGUACGUACAAGCAGUAGGAGCCC
RNAcentral lists this ribosomal RNA (551 nucleotides) under Klebsiella oxytoca. Its description in RNAcentral is "partial 23S ribosomal RNA". It matches the Rfam family "Bacterial large subunit ribosomal RNA", at positions 1 to 582 of the family's 2925-position model. The record is from RNAcentral. Lineage: Bacteria; Pseudomonadati; Pseudomonadota; Gammaproteobacteria; Enterobacterales; Enterobacteriaceae. RNAcentral also lists the same sequence under 1 other name.